Molecule: ribosomal RNA, 551 nt
Filed under: uncultured bacterium
Lineage: Bacteria
Description: bacterial SSU rRNA
Rfam family: Bacterial small subunit ribosomal RNA
Source: RNAcentral
AAUAGAUACCCAGGUAGUCCACGCCGUAAACGAUGAGUGCUAAGUGUUAGGGGGUUUCCGCCCCUUAGUGCUGCAGCUAACGCAUUAAGCACUCCGCCUGGGGAGUACGGUCGCAAGACUGAAACUCAAAGGAAUUGACGGGGGCCCGCACAAGCGGUGGAGCAUGUGGUUUAAUUCGAAGCAACGCGAAGAACCUUACCAGGUCUUGACAUCCCAUUGGCCACUAUGGAGACAUAGUUUUCCCUUCGGGGACAACGGUGACAGGUGGUGCAUGGUUGUCGUCAGCUCGUGUCGUGAGAUGUUGGGUUAAGUCCCGCAACGAGCGCAACCCUUGUUCUUAGUUGCCAUCAUUUAGUUGGGCACUCUAAGGAGACUGCCGGUGACAAACCGGAGGAAGGUGGGGAUGACGUCAAAUCAUCAUGCCCCUUAUGACCUGGGCUACACACGUGCUACAAUGGACGGUACAAACGGUUGCCAACCCGCGAGGGGGAGCUAAUCCGAUAAAACCGUUCUCAGUUCGGAUUGUAGGCUGCAACUCGCCUACAUGAACG